AUUGAACGCUGGCGGCGUGCUUAACACAUGCAAGUCGAUCGGUAACGCGGGGCAACCUGGCGACGAGAGGCGGACGGGUGAGUAACGCUUGGGAAUCUGCCUACUAAUGGGGGGACAACCCGGGGAAACUCGGGCUAAUACCGCAUACGCACUAUGGUGGAAAGCCGGGGACCGCAAGGCCUGGCGUUAGUAGAUGAGCCCAAGUCGGAUUAGCUAGUUGGUGGGGUAAUGGCCUACCAAGGCGACGAUCCGUAGCUGGUCUGAGAGGACGACCAGCCACACCGGAACUGAGACACGGUCCGGACUCCUACGGGAGGCAGCAGUGGGGAAUAUUGGACAAUGGGGGAAACCCUGAUCCAGCGACGCCGCGUGGGUGAAGAAGGCCUGCGGGUUGUAAAGCCCUUUCGGUGGGGAAGAAAAGUCACUGCCUAAUACGCGGUGGCCUUGACGUAACCCAAGAAAGAAGCACCGGCUAACUCUGUGCCAGCCGCCG
RNAcentral lists this ribosomal RNA (493 nucleotides) under uncultured bacterium. RNAcentral describes it as "bacterial SSU rRNA". It matches the Rfam family "Bacterial small subunit ribosomal RNA", at positions 29 to 517 of the family's 1533-position model. The record is from RNAcentral.